Molecule: ribosomal RNA, 219 nt
Filed under: uncultured Lactobacillus sp.
Lineage: Bacteria; Bacillati; Bacillota; Bacilli; Lactobacillales; Lactobacillaceae
Description: partial 16S ribosomal RNA
Rfam family: Bacterial small subunit ribosomal RNA
Source: RNAcentral
UAACAACCUGGAAACAGAUGCUAAUACCGGAUAACAACAGAUGAUGCCUAUCAACUGUUUAAAAAGAUGGUUCUGCUAUCACUCUUGGAUGGACCUGCGGUGCAUUAGCUAGUUGGUAGGGUAACGGCCUACCAAGGCGAUGAUGCAUAGCCGAGUUGAGAGACUGAUGGCCACAUUGGGACUGAGACACGGCCCAAACUCCUACGGGAGGCAGCAGUU